AGAGUUUGAUCCUGGCUCAGGAUGAACGCUGGCGGCGUGCUUAACACAUGCAAGUCGAACGGGAUCCAUCAAGCUUGCUUGGUGGUGAGAGUGGCGAACGGGUGAGUAAUGCGUGACCGACCUGCCCCAUACACCGGAAUAGCUCCUGGAAACGGGUGGUAAUGCCGGAUGUUCCAGUUGAUCGCAUGGUCUUCUGGGAAAGCUUUCGCGGUAUGGGAUGGGGUCGCGUCCUAUCAGCUUGACGGCGGGGUAACGGCCCACCGUGGCUUCGACGGGUAGCCGGCCUGAGAGGGCGACCGGCCACAUUGGGACUGAGAUACGGCCCAGACUCCUACGGGAGGCAGCAGUGGGGAAUAUUGCACAAUGGGCGCAAGCCUGAUGCAGCGACGCCGCGUGAGGGAUGGAGGCCUUCGGGUUGUAAACCUCUUUUAUCGCGGAGCAAGCGAGAGUGAGUUUACCCGUUGAAUAAGCACCGGCUAACUACGUGCCAGCAGCCGCGGUAAUACGUAGGGUGCAAGCGUUAUCCGGAAUUAUUGGGCGUAAAGGGCUCGUA
RNAcentral lists this ribosomal RNA (553 nucleotides) under Bifidobacterium longum subsp. infantis. Its description in RNAcentral is "bacterial SSU rRNA". It matches the Rfam family "Bacterial small subunit ribosomal RNA", at positions 8 to 573 of the family's 1533-position model. The record is from RNAcentral. Lineage: Bacteria; Bacillati; Actinomycetota; Actinomycetes; Bifidobacteriales; Bifidobacteriaceae.